Molecule: ribosomal RNA, 1350 nt
Filed under: metagenome
Description: bacterial LSU rRNA
Rfam family: Bacterial large subunit ribosomal RNA
Source: RNAcentral
CAUGAGGAGAGCUCUAUGAGCUCACGAACUCAGUUAUCCCAGACUUCCAAGAAAAGUUCCGGCGUGAGUCACUUUACUGACCGUACCGCAAACCGACACAGGUGGGCAAGGAGAAUAUCCUAAGGCGUUUGAGAGAAGCCUCUCUAAGGAACUCGGCAUAAUGACACCGUAACUUCGGGAUAAGGUGUGCCGACGGUAGGUGAUGUGCCUGCGCACAAAGCCCAAGUCGGUUGCAGUGAAACGGGGGUAGCGACUGUUUACCAAAAACACAGCACUCUGCAAACUCGUAAGAGGAUGUAUAGGGUGUGAUGCCUGCCCGGUGCCGGAAGGUUAAGAGGAGGAGUCAGCCGCAAGGCAAAGCCCCGAAUCGAAGCCCCGGUAAACGGCGGCCGUAACCAUAACGGUCCUAAGGUAGCGAAAUUCCUUGUCGGGUAAGUUCCGACCUGCACGAAUGGCAUAACGACUUCCCCACUGUCUCGGAGAGGCCCUCAGCGAAGUAGCACUGGGGGUGAAGAUACCCUUUACCCGCGGCAGGACGGAAAGACCCCGUGAACCUUUACUGUAACUUGGCACUGAUUUUCGGGUUAGCUUGCGUAGGAUAGGUGGGAGGCUAUGAAGCCGGGAUUCCGGUCUCGGCAGAGCCAACCUUGAAAUACCACCCUGGCUAACCUAAAAAUCUAACUCGCUUCCGUAAUCCGGAAGGAGGACAAUGCCUGGUGGGCAGUUUGACUGGGGCGGUCGCCUCCCAAAAAGUAACGGAGGCGCGCGAAGGUUCCCUCAGCCUGAUUGGAAACCAGGCGCAGAGUGUAAUGGCAUAAGGGAGCUUGACUGCGAGACAAACAAGUCGAGCAGGUGCGAAAGCAGGUCAUAGUGAUCCGGUGGUCCUGUAUGGAAAGGCCAUCGCUCAACGGAUAAAAGGUACUCCGGGGAUAACAGGCUUAUCACGCCCAAGAGUUCACAUCGACGGCGUGGUUUGGCACCUCGAUGUCGGCUCAUCGCAUCCUGGGGCUGAAGUAGGUCCCAAGGGUUCGGCUGUUCGCCGAUUAAAGCGGUACGCGAGCUGGGUUCAAAACGUCGUGAGACAGUUUGGUCCCUAUCCGCCGGGGCGCAGGAGACUUAAGAGGAGCUAACCUUAGUACGAGAGGACCGGGUUGGACUGACCUCUAGUGUUCCGGUUGUGGCACCAGCCGCAUCGCCGGGUAGCUACGUCGGGAAUGGAUAACCGCUGAAAGCAUCUAAGCGGGAAGCCAACCUCAAGAUUAGGUCUCCCAGGUCGUAAGACCCUAAAGGCCCCUCGUAGACCACGAGGUAAUAGGCUGGGUGUGGAAGCGUAGUAAUACGUGAAGCUGA